Molecule: non-coding RNA, 3523 nt
Organism: Podarcis lilfordi (Lilford's wall lizard)
Lineage: Eukaryota; Metazoa; Chordata; Lepidosauria; Squamata; Lacertidae
Source: the annotation of a GenBank genome assembly
AAGCAGUUCUCCCGCGGCCCCCUUGCGCUCCUGGCCGUCCGGAAGGGCCUCGCGCCCUGGGCAUCCGCCGCCGUCCCCGACCUGCCUUCAGAGCAGGCGGCCAGCAGGAGCUCGCCAGGUGUACCCGGCACCCUAAGGGUGACCCAUCGCCAACAUUUCGUAACUAAAACAAACCGCCUCGAAGUCACCCAGCUGGGCUGGUGCGAAAUGUUCCAGGCGAACCGCUGAAGAAAGACUGGCAGGGACUCGGUCGGCCAACCGCACUGAGGCGCCUCGGCAGCGAGCGCAAGCGAAGGAGCGGGCGCGCACGAAGAAAGGAACGGGCAGGCGACCCCAGAGCAAAGGGCUUCAGCGGAUUGAGGGAACCAGCUUUGAGCCGGCAGGUCGGCCUCACGGAGACCUUAGCCCGGCGACGUUCAAGGGGCCCGAGGCUCCAGGAUCGCCACAGUCAACUCUGUUGGCUUCUAGGAACGCAGGAAGCGUCUAGAGAGCGUGACUCCCCCGGCAAUUUCUGUUGAAAUUGUCGGAACGGGAAUGCGCUUCGGAGCUGCGCCAUCGUCCCGCACGUUUCAGCGGGAGACUUGGGCGUCUCUCUGCGUGCAAAGGCUCCGUGGGACUUGAAAGUGCUUAGCGUGGAGUUGCACCCUGUGGUGGGCCGGCAGGCAGUGCCCUCUCUUCCGCCAGAAGCAGCUGAAAUGCCCUCUUGGUUCCAUCCCUUUCAAAUCCGAGGCCUUCAAAGUACCUCGUUCUGGCUGGAUCCCGCACUAAAGCAUGUAAGCUCUCAAGGAGAGUUGGGGAAACGGAUGACCUCCAGGUGUCGCUGGACUCCAGUUCCCACCAUCCCUGACCAUUUGCCGGGCGGACAGGUGCUGAUGGGAGAUGGAGUUCAGUGGCACCUGCAGCGCCACAAGGCCCCUCCUUUGGUCUAAGAUGAAGGCCUGCUGUUCAGGCAGGUCUGGUAGUCUAUUCCAGAAUUAUGAUCAAGAGCUGCUGUCGCCGAGCAGGAAAUGUAUUGCUCAAAGGCGCUUUUUUCUUAUUCCUAGGGAAGUACUACCAGAAUCAAGGCUGCGCAUGGAAAAGAUGCUGGAGCUUUCUCGGAUGAAAGGAGCAAGCGAUCCAGGGUUUGCUUUAAUGGGGAAAUGUCUGCUCUCUUGUUUAAAAGAUGGCAUUCGUGUGAGCAAGGAUGCCACUGGAAAGCGAACUCUCCUCGAAUGUGGCAUUAGCGCUUUCUUCCCUUCAAAGCGCUUCGCAGGCGCGUGAUCUCAGUCAGAAGUCACCCUAUUAUAGCAAUGCUUUCCCGGCGGUUUUAGAGGGCAGGAGGCUGGGUCUUGGCGCGGACCUUUCCCGAGCGCCACCAAUCGAGAACUUCCCGGCUCGCUCCUUGAUCUCCCGUGCAUUCAGGUGGACUUAACUUCCAAAAUCAACCUACAGUAUUUGGGUUCGUGGGCGAGGAAGGGGCCACUUCGGACGGGGGAGGGAUUCAGAAACUCACCAAGCCCUCAUCAAAGGGAACGAGCUUUGUUCAAAAACAAAGCAACAAUAAGUAUUUGUUGCCUUUCUGUUACUUUUUUUAAAAAAUAUAUAUAUCACAGCAAAGAAUAGACUAAAGAAUUGACUAAAACGUAGGGAGGACGGGACGGCAGGUAAGUCCCGCCCUGCCUAACCGGUCACAAGACUUGGCGCACGUACACCAUUUGAAUGGCAGUGCCCAUCAACUUGGGGGAGGACGGCCACCUCAAAUAUUUAGGGGGGGGGGCUGAAGGGACUUCGGCCCCUAGGAAUUGGCUCCUACGUAUAGACUCCACUGUGCCGUUCUCUUGCGCGAACCCUAAUGAUGCGUCAAAGAGGCGCAUCUCUGAUCACUUUAAGUGCGGUUUGAAAAGAACAACUACACGUGCGCCGACGGUUAUCAACCACCUAUUAGGGGAUCUUUCCUUUCCUUUAAUAAUAGGGAUCAGCAUGUGUAGGACAUGUGAGCAGCUCCGAGAUUUUGAUGCUCCUGAAGUGGAAUAAUUAUAAAUUGUCUGAAACACUCUGAAAAGCGGAUCUCCCCACCACCACCACCGCGCGCGAAGCAGAGCCACUGGAUUGGCUGGCUUGUUGGCAGGGCAAUUCAGCGGAUGCAUCAAUGGGCAGGUGCUGCUUCUGCACCUGGAGCACCUGGAGCUGCAAGGAAAAGGGUGAUUCUUCAGAGAGGAAUCCCAUUUGUCUCCUUCCAUUGUUCAGACACGGCAGGGGAAAGGCGGGCAGGCAAGCAAGCAGCGCUCACUACAAUUUGCCAGGUGUCGUCCACUGAAAAGAAGGGAGCCCUGUCUUUUUUCCCUUACCUGAAAAGCCAGGUCUGUGCCAGCUAGGAAAGGAACGGGGUCCCCCUCUGGUUUUUCUGAAAGGGCCCCUCCACCUCAUCACUCCCUUGCACAUCAAUGAGCACCCGAGGAACCUAUAGCUUGUAGCAUGGCCCUGCCAAAGCAAGCCUCUGAAACUCAGGGGUCAUCUCCACAUUUAUUUAUUUAUUUAUUUAUUUAUUAAAAUUGAUGCACCCCUUGAUUUCUUUUUUAAAAAAACACUCUUCAAAAAUUGCCUCAGUUUUCUGAGCAGCUGGGUAGGUGCCAAUCCCAUAAACAUUUUUUUUGUUUUUUAGGCCAAGAAGUGUUUCCUUUUGUCUGGCCUAAACGGAACCCCAAUUCGCUUCCCUGGUGACCCAGAGCUCUCCUCUCCCAAAUAGCCACUGUUGCCUUCAUGUCCAUACCACCCAUGUGGCUUCCUGCUGGUUUUUAUUUAUAAAGCCAUAAGUUGUCUAGUACAGGUGUGGGCAGAGUUCAAGUUUGUUGGAACUACGGUCCCCCCCCCCGAACCCUAGGAUCUACCAACCAGAGCCAAGUGUAAAAGAACAGGUGCCUCUGGACACAUUCUGAACCUGAACCUGAUCAGUCUUUCCCAACAGAAAUCAACUCCUGGUUAGCUUUCCUCAUUUCAGCAGCCUAAUUUAGAUGGGAGAAGCUAUUCAAAAAAUUAGUAGCAAGAAACUAUUGCAGAUCUAGUGCCAAUCACUCAGAGAUCUACCAGUGGACCCAGAUCUACCUCCUGCCCAACCCUGGUCCAGAACCAUGAGGGUACCUGGGGGAUCCUUACUCUCUUAUGAACCAACCCAGGAGCUAAAUUCUUCAAUGACAGUCUUCUCCAGAUGCCACCGCCUGUCUGGCCACCAGGGACAUGGCCUAUUCUGGUUGUGAAAGUCCAGUGGCUCACAGCGACCCACUUGAGAACUUUAUUGUUAUAUUUUAGGUGCCACGUAAAGGCUCUCUUGUUUCUUUGGGUGACCUAUUUGGUUGCUGGGUUUUACCGCAUCAGAUGGUUGCAUUUUGCCUCUUUGUGACCUGUUGCUUUUAUGGUUUCUUCUGUACUAUAGUGUGGUUGCAGUUAUGCAAUGUGUACUUUUGUGACAUGGAUUUUCUGAAAGUGCUAUUUACAGCAGGGUACAAGUGUUUUCAAACAAAUAAACCUGUAUCAGCUUCAAUGAAAA